GCAGCCGGGGAGAUAGCGGUGCCCUGUACCUGCAAUCCGCUAUAGCAGGGGUGAUGCCGAACCGAGGCUUCUUGCCUGUAGAGCAGCGCUUCAUAAGCGGCGUUGACGUCUGGGUCCUGCGCAACAGAUCUCUGUGAAUCGUGUCAGGUCGGGAACGGAGCAGCACUAAGCAGACCCUUCUGUGUGCCGUAGGGCUGCCUGGACUGAGUUGGCUGUGAAGAAAGCGUCUGUGGGCGGAUGUCGAAGCGAGGCGCACGG
Molecule: signal recognition particle RNA, 258 nt
Filed under: bovine gut metagenome
Description: Bacterial large signal recognition particle RNA
Rfam family: Bacterial large signal recognition particle RNA
About the family: The signal recognition particle (SRP) is a universally conserved ribonucleoprotein involved in the co-translational targeting of proteins to membranes.
Source: RNAcentral